AGCUGAUCACUGGGCGUAAAGCGUGCGCAGGCGGUUUUGUAAGACAGAGGUGAAAUCCCCGGGCUCAACCUGGGAACUGCCUUUGUGACUGCAAGGCUGGAGUACGGCAGAGGGGGAUGGAAUUCCGCGUGUAGCAGUGAAAUGCGUAGAUAUGCGGAGGAACACCGAUGGCGAAGGCAAUCCCCUGGGCCUGCACUGACGCUCAUGCACGAAAGCGUGGGGAGCAAACA
This 230-nucleotide ribosomal RNA is filed under the name uncultured Alicycliphilus sp. Its description in RNAcentral is "partial 16S ribosomal RNA". It matches the Rfam family "Bacterial small subunit ribosomal RNA", at positions 550 to 774 of the family's 1533-position model. Lineage: Bacteria; Pseudomonadati; Pseudomonadota; Betaproteobacteria; Burkholderiales; Comamonadaceae. The record is from RNAcentral.